This 78-nucleotide small nuclear RNA is filed under the name Homo sapiens (human). Its description in RNAcentral is "partial ncRNA". The record is from RNAcentral. Lineage: Eukaryota; Metazoa; Chordata; Mammalia; Primates; Hominidae.
AGAGAAUCGAUUGAACCCCGGAGGCGGAGGUUGCAGUGAGCCAAGAUUGCGCCAUUGCACUCCAGCCUGGGCACAGGC